Molecule: ribosomal RNA, 541 nt
Filed under: uncultured Acidobacteriota bacterium
Lineage: Bacteria; Pseudomonadati; Acidobacteriota
Description: bacterial SSU rRNA
Rfam family: Bacterial small subunit ribosomal RNA
Source: RNAcentral
UGUAGAGUUUGAUCCUGGCUCAGAAUGAACGCUGGCGGCGUGCUUAACACAUGCAAGUCGAACGAGAAAGCGGGGGCAACCCCGUGAGUAAAGUGGCGACCGGGUGCGUAACACGUGACUAACCUACCCUCAAGUGGGGAAUAACUUCGGGAAACCGAGGCUAAUACCGCACAACAUCGCGAUCGUAAAGGUCGUGAUCAAAGCAGCAAUGCGCCUGAAGAGGAGCCUGCGGCGGAUUAGGUAGUUGGUGAGGUAAUGGCUCACCAAGCCCGCGAUCCGUAGCCGGCCUGAGAGGGCGGUCGGCCACACUGACACUGACAUACGGGUCAGACUCCUACGGGAGGCAGCAGUCGGGAAUUUUGGGCAAUGGGCGCAAGCCUGACCCAGCAACGCCGCGUGAAGGAUGAAGUUUUUCGGAAUGUAAACUUCACAAGAACGGGAAGAAUAAGUGAAGGCUAAUACCUUUCACGAUGACGGUACCGUUUGUAAGCUCCGGCUAACUCCGUGCCAGCAGCCGCGGUAAUACGGGGGGAAGCAGCGU